ACUUACGUCCUCCAAAUCUGAGACGUUAAAAAACUCCUGGACUGAGGCCCCAGAAUUCCUGGCAUCCUCCUGGUAGGUGCAGACGCCCCUCUGAGAAGCGUCCAGGAGUGGGCGUCCCCUCCAGAGGCCACCUCCUGCCCCCAUCUGGGUCUCUUUCUGCCUCUCCAGCUUCCCAACGACCAGCCUCGGCAGCUCUGCGUGGAGUCCAGCUUUCUGCCUCCCCUCUGCCAGACCUCGGAGUGCUUCAGUGACUUUGAUGUUCUUCUUGUGGGUGGGCUGCUCCCUCCCGAGGCUCUACAGAUACCUGCAGGCUGAAAACUCUCCAAAAGACAUCAUUUCCCCAGACUGCCCAUCUGCCCAUAAGCUUCAGAAUGGCCCCAAGUCCGGCCGUCCCUGCCCGCAGACGAUGGCCUCCCAGUGCAUCAGGCCAUGUUAGCUUUGGUUCAGCCCAGCCCGUCUCCAC
Molecule: long non-coding RNA, 463 nt
Organism: Ailuropoda melanoleuca (giant panda)
Lineage: Eukaryota; Metazoa; Chordata; Mammalia; Carnivora; Ursidae
Exons: 3
Source: RefSeq, a predicted model, not a curated record